GGACUCCUACGGGACGCAGCAGUGAGGAAUAUUGGUCAAUGGUCGGGAGACUGAACCAGCCAAGCCGCGUGAGGGAUGAAGGUACAGAGUAUCGUAAACCUCUUUGGACGGUACCUGACUAAGAAGCCCCGGCUAACUACGUGCCAGCAGCCGCGGUAAUACGUAGGGGGCAAGCGUUAUCCGGAUUUACUGGGUGUAAAGGGAGCGUAGACGGCUGUGCAAGUCUGAAGUGAAAUGCCGGGGCCCAACCCCGGAACUGCUUUGGAAACUGUACAGCUAGAGUGCAGGAGGGGUGAGCGGAAUUC
Molecule: ribosomal RNA, 305 nt
Filed under: uncultured bacterium
Lineage: Bacteria
Description: bacterial SSU rRNA
Rfam family: Bacterial small subunit ribosomal RNA
Source: RNAcentral